Gallus gallus (chicken) is the source of this 6984-nucleotide long non-coding RNA. RefSeq lists it as uncharacterized. The record is from RefSeq and is a predicted model, not a curated record. Lineage: Eukaryota; Metazoa; Chordata; Aves; Galliformes; Phasianidae. The transcript is spliced from 4 exons.
ACAGGUGCUUUUGGUCCUUGUGCAGUAGUUGAACCUACCAUCAUCUGAGACACUGCUGAAUGUGGAAACUCUAUGCUCCUACAGAUUCUACGUCUUUUUCAACAGUUUCAUCAGGAAAUCGCACCUACGCAGGUAUGCUGCCCUUAUGUAUUUACCGUUUUCCUCCUCUUCUUUCUCUGCCCCAGUAUUCUUGCUCAUCUGCCCUAAGUCAGCCAAUAACUCAACCUCAGAGCUAUCAAGUCUCUGCACGCUUUGUGAAAGCAUUUAUAUAGGGAGAAAACAAAAUUUGUAUCAUCCCUGAGUGAAAGGUAAAUAUUCUCAUGGUUUAGUAAAAGAGAAUCCAGCUGGGGCACUGGCUAGGCUCUAGGCAUUGUUAUUUUUCUGGGUACCACAUUUGAAUACUGCAUUUGAAAAUAACACUUUGUCAAAUAUUUUCUGGCAUGUUUGCUAUUAAUAUAAACAGUACCUGAAGUUUCCAGCCCUAGUUCCCAGGACGUUUGUACUAGAGCUGUAGCCAAUAAGUUCUUAGCAUUGCUAAAAACCAGCACUAAUUCCAAAUUGGUACAUUGUUGGAAUUUAUAUUCCCUGUCUUUCCUAACUCCAUUCUCAUAGCAUAAACACUGCCUAGAUGUUAAGUGAAAGAUUCUCAGUAUUUCUGCUUGAGCAUACCUGAUUGAUAUGCAGCUUCUGCUGCCAUCUCUGAAAGACGUAAUGCUGUCAUCCAGCUGGAUUCUAGCUUUAGGUAUUCUUGCUGUUUUGUUGUCAUCUAGGAGUAAAAUGAAGAAUUAUUCAAUUUGAUAUGAGAACAUCUGAGUGCUGUUCUAAACAGUACCUCUGUGAAAAGGUGAGCAAGUGAGAAUACAGCUUUUUGAGAAAAGCUGAAGAGGGAAAUUCCUGACUGUGAUACAAGUUGUAGCUAGUUAAGUUCCUUAAUGGACAACCCUAUAGUUUGUUUAGAAAACGGGAAGGAUCUGUGUCUUUGUAUGGAACAGAUAAGGCAUGUGCAGGAGACUCUGUAUGGAAUAGUUAAGGGAGGUUCCACCAGACAUUGUAUGUGAACAGAUAAGGUUCCAGGACUCUUUGUAUGGAAUGUGGAUGUACCUCCAGGAAGACCUGUUCAGAGGAAGACCUCUGAACAUAUAUCAACUGAAGGCCUUUUUGUGCAAAGUAUGUGUGAUAGGAGGGGAGUAUCUGCCACGCAUCCAGUGCUGUUAGUAAAGAAUUCCUACUUUCUAACACUCCGACUUGAGUCUUAGAGAGUUUCUUGAUUGACUGCUUUAUGGUAACAACUGAAGGGAGAUGAUGGCUUACAUCCACUCUGGCUCCUAUUACCACCUGCCAGACUGCAUCCACUUCAUCUGAGUUCAUCUUCCCAAGAAGAUUUGUGUAUUGCUUGUAGAGAGACACCAACGUAUAAACUGCCUGCAAAGGGAUUGUUUCACACAGUUAUAUUAAAAUCUAUAGAUGUUUGCUCACUCUUAACUGGUGUUAAUGAGUCAUAUAAAGCAAGAAAAGAACUAACCUGUCUGUAUUUAAUCUCCAGUAUAUGCAGUGGGUAACAAAAUCGUUGAAUACUUCCCAAGGUGCUUUGCUCUUAAGUUUGCUGUUAAACACGUUGAAAAAAGGAGUAUACUCUGACUCGAGCACCAGAACUUUGAUGCUCCAAGAGUGCACAUCAUUAUGGGCUUCUCAGAAUUCCUGAUUUCCUACUCUGAAAGCCCACUGCUUCCUACCUAUGCUACAGCAGUUCCUUGCAGUACCACAGAAAUACAUUUGUACUGCACAGGAAAAGCAGAAAUAUGUAAAAGUACAUUGUACUAACUUCCACAUUUAGUGCAGUAAGAAUAGUGAGCCCUACUCCAUAACUUCCCAGGGACCCGAAGCAAAGUGCUUAACCUCUCACCUUACCUUUGUAUACUCUGUCAGUGCUUCAAUCAGUGCGUACGUUGUUUGAGAGAGGAGAGUGGAAGUACUGUCUGUUACCAACGUAACGGCUCUCUUAAUCAAGGCAUCGUUACUGAGAGAAGCUGAGUUCUGUUUCUGAAAUACAACAAGUUGGCGUUAUUGUUACAGACUCCCAUUUGUAUAUAAUUGGUAAUUAAUGAUGAUAAAAAAGCACCGCUGCUAAUGACAGGGCUGGAGAGCCUACAGCAAAAUCCUAGCACAAAUUCCUCUGUAAAACAAGGUCACUUCUUUUCCUGCAAUUUGUUACUGAAGGUAAACACUGUGUUUCUCAUCUCUUUUCCUUAACAACCACAUGGCAUCAACCCCUGUCACCCCUAAGGCAGAAUCAAGAUGGUACAACGGAACGGGGCUGCACGUCCGCCGCCGGAGAUCCCUUACCUCUGCGACUGGCACAGCACACAGGGCGGCUCCCAGCCCUGCGCCCACCGCGCGGCGCCACCGCCCGCUCCCACCAGGAAGGCCGCGUCUGCCGGUGCCGGCCAGAGCGGGGAGGCCGUGCCUGGGCAUGCGAGAAACAGUGAGCACAGAAACACCAGAGCAGGGAUCAUCUGCUGCAGCUGGGGGAGGGGACCGUGAACCGGCGAUGUUCUGGAAUAACAGCGAGUGGCCGUACUGGUUAUUAUCGUGACGGCGAGGUAUAAAGGCGAGAAACAACAGCUGGGCGCGGUAAGUGGAAAACGGAGGGGACACGUUUUGUCUUAUCCGGUGCGAACGCAUUGUUAAUGCUCGGUCGCACUGACAAUCGAGGUCUAAGUGUGCUUAAAUUGUUUUCAUUUGUUUUCUGAGAAUAACCGGUCGGUUUUCCUCCCACGCUGCAUGCUCCUAACCCAGGGGGGCACCGCCGCCCCAACCCGGCCGCCCGUAACCGCGGUACCUCAGGAGAGAGCACCAACCCCGCAGCCAGAAGGACCGCGCCGCCAUCUUGGGAGUGGGCGGUACGCCGGAAGUGACGCCAUGCUGGGAGGGUGGUCCGGAUCGGCGCGUGCGCAGAGGGCGGGCACGUGGGGAGGGCGCGAGGCGCGGCCGUUGUGUUAACGGUCGCUGUGAGGGGCGGCGGCGCUGUGAGGCGACCAACGGUCGUUGGCGCCGCGCGGGAACGCUGUUGCCGCGCUCAGCCCUCAGCCUCGCGGCUCGCACAGGCUCGGCUUCCAUCUGCUUUGGUCCACUUCAUCUUUACUUUUCCAGAAGUUGGUGCAGGAGGAAGGAGGUGCCAUCCUGUGUGCUGAGCAGAUGUGUGGGACGAGCUGUGCAGUGGAGCCAGGUGCUUCUGGCCAGCCAAGGACUGCAGGAGCGGGGAAGGAGUUGUCAUUUGAGCACCAAGAAAUACGUCGUCCAGCCAGCAAGCAGCAGUGCUCCCACCAGCACGGUGUAGCUGAACAGCACGAACGCCAGCAGCUCCCGCAGCACCUUGAGGAAGUGGAUUGCAAAGGAGUCCGGCAUCGUUCCCCACAGUACCGCAGUGCAGGUAGGCUGUCUGGGGAUGGCUGCAGCCGUGCUGCUCCCUGCUCUGUGCAAAGGAAAACCAGAAGGAUAGAAUGAGUCUUUCCCAGCAGGAUAGUGGAGCUCUGCUUUAGGGAGAAGCCGUUGUGUUCAGGAGAGUUAACAGCCACCCAUCCUUCUAAGAAAGUUGUUAAUUACUGAGGUUUAAGUGUCACAUUGGACUUGUGCAAGCUUGUUCAGGUCUUUGCAGGGUUAUCAAGCUGUGCAGUGUUGACAAGGAGUUAGGGAUCUGAUCAAAGUCUCUAAAUCAGGACUGGUAUCUAAGCAAAUUAAAAUACAGAUGCAUGUAUGGUGUACUCUGUUGUGCAGGCAUGGAGCAGUGGCCCCAGUUCUGCUAGAUCCCAGUAUCUUUCCCCUAUGUCCAGUGGCUGUGCAUCCAGGAAGCUUCACAUACAGAGCAUUCACUGAUGAUGUAUUACCAACAGUGUGUUCUGAUCAAAGUGGUCAAUGCCUUCAAGGAAGCCACCAUUAAUAUUUAAUGAUAUAAUUGCAUCUUAAUGGAGAUACUGGCACAAACAGAGCCUUUUGUUUAAGAGAGAAGAAAACUGGGGCUUAAAUGCAACUUUGCACAGGCAAAUAUUUCUAUCUAUCUCAGCUUAAAAAUAACCUUCAAAUGGGAGACAUAGGGUAAGACAUUAUAGAAUUCAUCCAUCUGUAUUUUAAAGUCACAGUACCUGCUGAUUUAGAAGUUGCUUGUUUCUUACUUUAAUAUAAAAUCUGAACAUUUCAUGAAAGUUGUUGGCUCCUUAGAUUUAAUGCUGUGAAGCCUGUCUAAAAAUCCUCCUGUCUCGCUGAGUCACCUGUUAUUUUGGUCAGGGCUGUGCCUGAUCUAAGGUAUCCACACUCUUGGUCAAGCACAUAAAGGGAGUCUAAAACCAGAUUUCAGAUAAAGCUAACCUAAAAAGAUUCUUAUCUUCUUAACAGUCUAUAGCCAGCAAAAGCAAAUUGAAUUCCUGUCCUGCCAAUUUGAGAUAUAUUUUUAAGAAGUACUUGUGAUGAAAAAACCACAUUUUGAUUAAAAUUAAGUCACUCUUUUGGUCUUAUUGAAGACCAAAAGUGUUUCCUUCUAAGCUCAGGUGUAUGCAUAUUAUAGGAGCUAUCGCAUUUUAAAACCAGCUGUGGUUCCCAGUUGUUCAAAGUUUCCUAUUUCUAGGCUUUACAUGACUUUUAAUUGUCUAAAGAAAUACUGACAAAGACAUAAACUGCUUACCCAGGUAGAUGAUGGGAUCUGCUUCGAAAAGUUCCUGUUUCUCCCUGGUUUUGUUGUGCUGCUGUCCCUUGAAUUUCUGGCUUCUGGUUUGUGCUGUAGUUUGAUCCCCUUCUGAUCUGCUCAUCCAGGAGCCAGGAGUAAUGAGGUUGUAUUUGCAGCCCACAUGAGGACUAAUGCACUAGGUGUGGUCAGGACCAAUUAUUAUAUGACAGAGCGCCUUGGCGCUGCGCGGCACAGCAGCACGGAGCUCUCCGAAUAGCCCCCCUUCCCCAGAGAGCUUUUGUCUACAGCUUUUUGUGAGUUGAAGCACCGUGGCUUUCCCAGUGUUACCAGUCAGAGCCUCCAUUUGUUUAUAUGUUUUUUUGUUUUUUUUUUUUUCCUUGUAAUGAAGUAUUAUGUCAUCUAAUGCUUUGUAUGCUGCAGCUCAGUUAUCUGGAAGGCUCCUGUUCUCUGAGGGCCCAGUGCUUGUGGGCCACUGCAGGAGUAGGAUGCUUGCAUGUAGCUGGGGAUUGCCCAAGGUCAGCAAUGCAGGUUAGAGCCGUGCACACUGAAUUGCACCCUGCUAUCUAAAGAAAGUGAGCGUUGAAGACAGCGUGAUCUAUACGUGAUCACUGCCUUAUAUUCACCCUUGCACAAACAGAAAGUCCCCCUUGCCUCUGAGAAAGCAAGAGCUACAACUCACUUGUGGUUAUGGGGUGGGAGAGAGUGUAGAUAAUGGCAUCUCAAGAGCAAAGACUCUUCUACAUAAUGUGGAAAGGGCUGACCUCAACCAAGACUGACAACAGAUACGUUACAAGACACCAGCACUUGUGGCAGGUGAGUACUGGGGAUCAUUUUGCGCCACCCAGUACACUGCAGUAAUAGACCUAAAUAGAUUCAGUCUACCUAAACUCAAUAGGGAACUACAUGUUUGUCGUGGCUGCUGAAACCAGGCUGAUGUGUUGUGCAGCUGACAGAACUGACUCCUACCAGCACCUCCUGGAACACAAGCCGAGAUUUCCCAUUAGGAUUUAUACCUGUCAUAGUUGAUUGUCUCUUCUUCAUUGCCAUUGAGGGCUGCUUCACACAUUCUCUGUAUUUUCAAGUUUAAUUCUUCAUUUCUCCUUUGCAGAUCUACUAUCACUGAGUUCAGGAAGUCAAUCUGUGAUAUUAAAGAACAAGCACAGUCAGAAGGUUGAGGACUGCGUGUCCACAGAAAGCAAAUACCACAGGAACGGCCCUCAAAAUGACAGAUGCUAAUAGGUCUCAACCCACCACCAACAGAUCAAGCUCUUUUUCUAAUGUUACUGUUUCAGCACGAAAGCCAGCAGUGUAAUUCUGAUCAGAAGUGCAUCUCCGUUCCUCUGGACCUGCUGCUCAAGUGGGUGCACCAGGGGCUGCCAGGUCACCCCCUGAGCUAUUCCAGAGGUGGCAGCGAGGCAGCACAGUGCACUCACACGGCAUUUCCUGAAGUGGUCCGAGCCACUCAGAGAUCAGCAGACAGCACAGAAGUACUGCUGGCAGUAAUCAAGUAAUGCUUGGCAAAUUAUUGCAAAUAAAAUAAAAGUAAGGCAAGAAGUGGAACAAACCUCUUGCUGAUCAGAAGAAAGCAUUGUCAUCAGCAGGUGGAUUCAGGGAGGGAAAAAAAAAGAAAUUAGUGGUUACUUAAUUGGUUAAUUGCACUGCUUCUGAGCUCUGUACAGACUAUGUCACUAGUAAAGACUGUUAAUCAGUAUGACCAACUCCAGUGAUUUAACAGCGCUGCUAUUCCAACCAUGCAUCCUAGGCCUUUGCUGUCACAGGCAGCCUGUUGCACUGCUUUCUUCUACAUGUCCAUUACAAUUACUGAACCCUUUCAUACAUAUUUUUCCUAAAUCUGUUAGAAUCAUAUGGUAACAGAGCAGCUAGUUUCUACCUCUCGUUCUCCUGCUUGCUUCCUCAUGUUAUUCCAACCAUUGGCAUUUCCCCUCAGAAGCAGAAGGUGAAAACAAAAAGCUGUCUAUCAUAGUCCUGAUUUCCAAAAUCUGCUAAGAACUGUAUUUGGGAAGAUUUCACUCUGCAUACUGCUGUUUUAGCUUGCUGAUGUUUCAGAUCAAAUACCUGUUUAUCUUCUGCACUUUCAUCUUGAAGUAGAUUAGCAGCUAUGUCACCUUUAAAGAGAAACAAAAAAGCAAGGCAUAAACAACCAGUAAUUUGAAGUAUGAAACAUCCAUGGCUUAGUCAGAGACCGAAAAUAGUGGACUAUUGCAUUUUAACUAUGCAUCUAACAACUGCAAAAUCUGCAAGAUUAAAGCUGAAAGCACAGAGAAAUAAAGAAAUUCUCUCUUUUA